AGUGAACGCUGGCGGUAGGCCUAACACAUGCAAGUCGAACGGCAGCACAGUAAGAGCUUGCUCUUACGGGUGGCGAGUGGCGGACGGGUGAGGAAUACAUCGGAUUCUACUUUUUCGUGGGGGAUUACGUAGGGAAACUUACGCUAAUACCGCAUACGACCUACGGGUGAAAGCAGGGGAUCUUCGCACCUUGCGCGUUUGAUUGAGCCGAUGUCGGAUUAGCUAGUUGGCGGGGUAAAGGCCCACCAAGGCGACGAUCCGUAGCUGGUCUGAGAGGAUGAUCAGCCACACUGGAACUGAGACACGGUCCAGACUCCUACGGGAGGCAGCAGUAGGGAAUAUUGGACAAUGGGCGCAAGCCUGAUCCAGCCAUACCGCGUGGGUGAAGAAGGCCUUCGGGUUGUAAAGCCCUUUUAUUGGGAAAGAAAAGCAGCAGGUUAAUACCCCGCUGUUCUGACGGUACCCAAUGAAUAAGCACCGGCUAACUUCGUG
Molecule: ribosomal RNA, 492 nt
Filed under: uncultured bacterium
Lineage: Bacteria
Description: partial 16S ribosomal RNA
Rfam family: Bacterial small subunit ribosomal RNA
Source: RNAcentral